GCCUGGGUGGCUCAGUGGUUGAGUGUCUGCCUUUGGCUCAGGGCCUGAUCCCAGAGCUCUGGGAUCGAGUCCCACCUCAGGCU
This 83-nucleotide transfer RNA is filed under the name Canis lupus familiaris (dog). It matches the Rfam family "tRNA". From Rfam's summary of the family: Transfer RNA (tRNA) molecules are approximately 80 nucleotides in length. Their secondary structure includes four short double-helical elements and three loops (D, anti-codon, and T loops). The record is from Rfam by way of RNAcentral. RNAcentral also lists the same sequence under 1 other name. Lineage: Eukaryota; Metazoa; Chordata; Mammalia; Carnivora; Canidae.